GUAAGUAUAGUUUAUCC
RNAcentral lists this transfer RNA (17 nucleotides) under Podarcis vaucheri. RNAcentral describes it as "partial tRNA-His". The record is from RNAcentral. Lineage: Eukaryota; Metazoa; Chordata; Lepidosauria; Squamata; Lacertidae.